GUUUGUUACAUGGCAAAAGCUAACUGAUACACAUACUAUACUUCCUACAUGGCUUUCUAGUCAUCUUUAUUUGCUACUUCUCAGAGAUAUUAGGAUGCAGGUCAUGAGCCCCACAUCUAAGGGAUACCUGCAGGGACCAUUCCUCAGCAAGAAAGCGGAGUUUCUGUCAUGUAUCAAAAUCUAAGUGAUUUCCCUUUCAAACAGCUUAAGUCUGUUAUCCUUGGUAUACUUCGAGAAAAGCUUCCUAUUUGUCUACAGCAUUUACUUCUCACUAAUGCAGGACUCGGCGUACUUGUUUGGAAACCCUUCUGUGUCUCUUGCAAGAACACAAAUACAGCCCAGCUUUUCCUUUCCCACUGGCCCAUUGAUGUCUACAAGCCAAGUGUGACCCAGGAAAGAAAAGUCUUGCACCAACUUCCAGCACUUUCCAGGCUCUGCCCGUCUAUGAGACCCGGAGUACUAGCCAUGACUGGUUUCAACCCUAAAGAACACCUCAUCCUUGAAUGCUAAUCUUGUGGUUCUAAUGGCAGGCAAUUUGGGCACCAACUUUUUUAUAUGACCCAGCUGAUCUGAGCAGUCUCCAACUCUCUCCUGGCCUGGCAUCAGAGCAUAUGUCUCUCACUAGAAGCCAGCUGUCGUGUUGUGAGCUGCCCUAUGGAGAGGCCCAUGUGGAGAACUGAGGUCUCUACCAAAGCCAGGAAGGAUCUGAGGUCUGCCAACAGCCAUGUGAGUGGACUUGGAAGCCGAGCUGCCCCCAGUUGUCACCUUGAGUACAGCCAUGUGAGAGACUCUCUGCCAACAUCUUGAUUGCAAACUUUUAAGAAAUCCUGAGCUAAGACAGACGCGGGCGGUCUUCCAGCUUCUCUCAACUCGGAGGGACAGUCGUGCUCCUCCCAGUCAGGGCAAAAGUGAAUCAUCAGUCCAGCUAAAGUUGAAUUGCCACAAAAUCCUAAAGCCUAAAUUAAACACCCUUCGAGCAGCUGGGGAAGGAGAACUGCAGUGGCAAGAUUCAGAGUUGAACAGGUACACUUGGAAGCAAUCUCAUAUGUGACAACAUUCAAGAACAGAUGUGAUCCUGCGGAAGGGAUUACAGAGGAAAAGAAGAAUCCUAAGAUACAAGCCUUCCCAGAGAAAUGCAACACAUAGAAGGAUAUAUUUAUUUUAGGGAGGAAGAAGUAAGGACUCACAGAGAACUGAAUAUAUAGAUGCUUAUCUUAUUUUAAUGCUCUGUUUUUAUAAAUGCUGAACUUCUUCUGAGGGCCUAGUGUCCUAGGCAAUACCACAUAUCUUGAGGUAAAGAAAGAUGACUUAAGAUGCAAGUACCAGAAAACGAUGGCUCUGAUUAGCUUCAACAAUAAAGGACUUAUUACCCUAGGACAAGAAAUCCAUAGUUAGGGCAAAAUCCCUGAGUGGUAUGUCAGGGUUUCAGCUCUGCUUGUCUGGGAUUCCACUGGAUCAGUCCUCCUCCUGUAUGUGUUGGAUCAGACCUCCAGUUGGCUCUCUUCAGAGUGACAAGAAGGCCACUUAGCUCUAAAUGUGACAAGGAGCUAAGAAGUGCCAUUCUUUAUCGUGUCUGUUAAAAGUAAGGAAGCACUCCCUAUGCUACUUUCCCUCAUGUCACAUUGGCCAGAAAUGUGUCACAUUCUCAUGCCUUCACCAUGAUUGACUUGGACCAUUUAAAAAGCUCCCCUAUGGGGCUGGGGCCAGCCUGCCUGCACCACAUGGCUAGGCAAAGGAAUAAUAGUGUAGACCCUUGAACAAAACAGGGGUGAACACAAUGAGGCUAAUAGAAUAAGAGCUGCUAUCAGAGGGCAGCAAUGAAGAAUGAAGUCAUGGAAUCAACAUUGUCUGCUCGGCGGUGUUAGGCUAACGUCGUACAUGUAAAUUCAACAAUUAAUUUAGCUUAAUGUUUCAUUCACAGGCAAUUUUUAGGAUAUAUUGUGCAUUUUCAUGGGAUUUAAAAAGAUCCAUCAUGACACAAUUCCAGUUUGAACAAGUCCUAUGCCAUUGCUUUCUUUCAGCCCCUGCUGGUUUCUAAGUUUCUCUUUCUUCUAUUUCUCUCCUCACCUACAAACGCGUUUCAAAAUUCACGCAUAGCGCAGAAGCUAAACCCUGCUGAACUCCUGUUUUGUCCACCACCAUCCCACCACAGCCAGUGAUUUGUAGGCGUAGGGACGGAACUGACAAUGGCUGCUGGGUCAGGAGUAAUUAAAAAAUGUCAAUGGUCAAGGAGGUGGAUGGAAAUCAGUUCAAACCCAACUGAAGCAUUUAGCUAUUUUACUGCUGCAUCCUUUUAGGCCUUUUCGGCUUAUAAAUAUUAAUUUAAAGACUACCAACAAGGACAGUAAACGGAGUUAGGCAUAAAACUUCCUGUCAGGGGUGAUUUAUAUCCAAUAAAAGGAAAGCAGGAUAGAGAAAGCCUGCUUCGCUAAGUCUAUGAUAGACAGUGAACGAGUACCAUCAAAAUAAAAAGGCUUUCAGUUUGUCGUGGGUUGUGUGGGUGUCUCCCUUCUUAAUAAGCAGCGUGCUAGAAUUGUGUUGUUGGCUUUUAUCAGUGCCUUGCACUGUUGAGGAAAAGUUCUACUGCGUCGCUAAUUGAACUUGUACAGAUUUAUAGGCUCAAGGCCUGUGCCUGAGAGAGAUUAUUAGGACUUAAAAGAUAAUAGCACCAGCAAGAAAAUUAAAACUGCU
Molecule: long non-coding RNA, 2691 nt
Organism: Canis lupus familiaris (dog)
Lineage: Eukaryota; Metazoa; Chordata; Mammalia; Carnivora; Canidae
Exons: 9
Source: RefSeq, a predicted model, not a curated record